AUGCCACUUGAACUUUGGUCAAGGUGUCGUCGGCGCUUAUGGGAAAUAGCAACGGGAACUACCGACUGCCUUGACAUUGAAACGGGGCAGUGAAGUGAUCCUGACGGCGUUACGUGACUGUCUGCCGUACCGCCGACUGCUGCGUUCCCCCGAGCGGCGGUUCUCUGGCGAAUAAUGGGGUAACGAAAUCAUCGUAUGACUGUGUCAAAGUCCGAAAUAAAAAUACUUUUUGCAGUCGCAGUACACGAAUAAAAACGAGAAGAAUUGCUCAAACGAGAUUGAAAUAAAGAAAACAACAGUUGUACACAGAGCGAAAUAUCACUUGUUUUGUGGCUUGUUUUAAAUAUUUGUUUUGGAACACGCAAAACCUGUUGGUAUAAAAAAAAAUAUAUGUAAAUGUAUAAACAUUAUCUGGAUAUUGUAAGAGAAAAGCUAUUUAUUAUUGUAAUUAUCUGAUUAUCAGCUAAUGAUCUUCGGAGAACGUAUGGUCGUAUGUAACUAUUUUUACAAAUUUUUCCGUUCACUUCAUGUAUACCAAUUCUAUAGGAGUUAUGUGAAAAACAUUAAUAUUCCAUUCAAGAAGAUAAGAUUAUUCGUUUUUGAACUGGAAACGUACUAUCCAUGUGGCAAGUACUCGAAAAUGUUUCCGGUGUGACCUCAACAGCAUCAGCAAGUGAGAAGAACUUUUGCACGGGGCGUUGAAUAUUCCACUGAAUGAAAUCGAGCCAAAGUAGCAAACACGGCAAACAAACAAGCAAACGACGAGUGACCGCUUGCGUGUGUGUGGGUGUGUUUUGGAGGCGAACUGAAAAUAAAUUUGAUUACCGCCGGCGGAGAAAGAGAGAAAGGAGAGCCCUACACCCACACGGGCGCUGAGAAGAAAGAUCGGCGCGCUCUCUUUUGCACUCGCUCAGAUCGCAUGAAUACGCGAGACAUUCACGUAUGCAUGCAUGUAUGUAAAUGGGAGUGUGUGAAAGUAAGGCAGUUGCGUAGCGCUAAAAAAAAAUGACCUAGACAAGCGAGCACUUAUCUUUAGAGUGACCAUCACCGCCGAGCACGUGCUCGAGUGAAAUUUUCCAGGGAAAUACAGACUUUGGCAAUGAUCGCGAGAGUUGGGGGCAGUAGCAAAGCCAAACGGCCGGUUUAAUCGAAGCGGUACUGCCUGAAAACCGGUUAGAAAAUCCACCAAA
Molecule: long non-coding RNA, 1190 nt
Organism: Drosophila simulans
Lineage: Eukaryota; Metazoa; Arthropoda; Insecta; Diptera; Drosophilidae
Exons: 2
Source: RefSeq, a predicted model, not a curated record